CAGCAAUGGUGCCUUGUAUUUUCCUCAUGACAGGUUUACAUUAAGCCAGUCACCUAUCUGCACAGUGACAGGGUUAAACAAUACGUCUCAGAUUUCCUCUGUGAAUCAUGGACAGUUCUGGUCAUGAUGAUGGCGUUAUUCUUACUACAUAACACUCCGUGAUAAUCUUUAUGCGUCUCUAAAGUCUCUUUCCAUAGGAAACAUGGCGGCUGUGAAACAACAACAGCGGCUUCUUGAAAUGAACAGCCAGAAAUCUUGUGGACUGGAUGACACAUGGAGGAACUAAAGGCUAUAUGGAA
Long non-coding RNA from Nanorana parkeri, 299 nucleotides. RefSeq lists it as uncharacterized. NCBI's taxonomy places the organism in Eukaryota, Metazoa, Chordata, Amphibia, Anura, Dicroglossidae. The record is from RefSeq and is a predicted model, not a curated record. The transcript has 4 exons.